RNAcentral lists this ribosomal RNA (252 nucleotides) under uncultured bacterium. Its description in RNAcentral is "partial 16S ribosomal RNA". It matches the Rfam family "Bacterial small subunit ribosomal RNA", at positions 525 to 776 of the family's 1533-position model. The record is from RNAcentral.
ACGGAGGGUGCGAGCGUUAUCCGGAAUUACUGGGUUUAAAGGGUGCGUAGGCGGAUCUUUAAGUCUAAGGUGAAAGUCUGUGGCUUAACCAUAGAAUUGCCUUGGAUACUGAGGAUCUUGAAUUGGGUUGAGGAUAGCGGAAUGUGACAUGUAGCGGUGAAAUGCAUAGAUAUGUCAUAGAACACCAAUUGCGAAGGCAGCUAUCUGGGCCUUGAUUGACGCUGAGGCACGAAAGCGUGGGGAGCGAACAGG